GGUUGUGGCUCAGUGGUAGAGUGCUUGCUUAGCAUGCAUGAGGCACUGGGAUCUAUCCCCAGCACCA
RNAcentral lists this transfer RNA (67 nucleotides) under Marmota monax (woodchuck). RNAcentral describes it as "tRNA.Ala". It matches the Rfam family "tRNA". Rfam says of the family: Transfer RNA (tRNA) molecules are approximately 80 nucleotides in length. Their secondary structure includes four short double-helical elements and three loops (D, anti-codon, and T loops). The record is from RNAcentral. Lineage: Eukaryota; Metazoa; Chordata; Mammalia; Rodentia; Sciuridae.